AUUGAACGCUGGCGGCAUGCCUUACACAUGCAAGUCGAACGGUAACAGGUCUUCGGAUGCUGACGAGUGGCGAACGGGUGAGUAAUACAUCGGAACGUGCCAAGUAGUGGGGGAUAACUACUCGAAAGAGUGGCUAAUACCGCAUGAGAUCUACGGAUGAAAGCAGGGGAUCGCAAAACCUUGUGCUACUAGAGCGGCCGAUGGCAGAUUAGGGUAGUUGGUGGGAUAAAAGCUUACCAAGCCGACGUUCUGUAGCUGGUCUGGGAGGACGAUAGGCCACAUUGGGACGGGAACCCGGCCAGGAUUCUACCGGGGGGAAGAAGGGGGGAUUUUGGACAAUGGGCGAAAGCCUGAUCCAGCAAUGCCGCGUGCAGGAUGAAGGCCUUCGGGUUGUAAACUGCUUUUGUACGGAACGAAAAGCCCCGGGUUAAUACCCUGGGGUCAUGACGGUACCGUAAGAAUAAGCACCGGCUAACUACGUGCCAGCAGCCGCAGUAA
RNAcentral lists this ribosomal RNA (498 nucleotides) under uncultured bacterium. Its description in RNAcentral is "partial 16S ribosomal RNA". It matches the Rfam family "Bacterial small subunit ribosomal RNA", at positions 30 to 523 of the family's 1533-position model. The record is from RNAcentral.